Molecule: ribosomal RNA, 253 nt
Filed under: uncultured bacterium
Lineage: Bacteria
Also listed under: 1 other name
Description: partial 16S ribosomal RNA
Rfam family: Bacterial small subunit ribosomal RNA
Source: RNAcentral
UACGAAGGGGGCUAGCGUUGUUCGGAUUUACUGGGCGUAAAGCGCACGUAGGCGGAUUGUUAAGUCAGGGGUGAAAUCCUGGAGCUCAACUCCAGAACUGCCUUUGAUACUGGCAAUCUCGAGUCCGGAAGAGGUAAGUGGAACUCCUAGUGUAGAGGUGGAAUUCGUAGAUAUUAGGAAGAACACCAGUGGCGAAGGCGGCUUACUGGUCCGGUACUGACGCUGAGGUGCGAAAGCGUGGGGAGCAAACAGG